GGUCCGAAGGUAGUGAGUUAUCUCGAUUGUUCACAGUCAGUUACAGAUCAAACUCCUUGUUCUACUCUUUCCCCCUUCUCACUACUGCACUUGACU
RNAcentral lists this Y RNA (96 nucleotides) under Callithrix jacchus (white-tufted-ear marmoset). RNAcentral describes it as "Y RNA (ENSCJAG00000084100.1)". It matches the Rfam family "Y RNA", at positions 5 to 88 of the family's 96-position model. From Rfam's summary of the family: Y RNAs are components of the Ro ribonucleoprotein particle (Ro RNP), in association with Ro60 and La proteins. The Y RNAs and Ro60 and La proteins are well conserved, but the function of the Ro RNP is not known. The record is from Rfam by way of RNAcentral. Lineage: Eukaryota; Metazoa; Chordata; Mammalia; Primates; Cebidae.